CUUAUUAUUUUUCUUAUCCAUCGUUCAGCCCUCGGAGUGCGGAGCAUGCAGAGAGAUUGUUGAUGAGAGAGGGAGAGUAAGGAGAAACCAUGCAGUAUCUGAGGCAACCCAGUGAGCCCAGUGACCGAGCCUGACAACCUGAUCCCCCCGGACAACCAGGGAACAGCAGUCUGGUCAACCCCAAGACCCGGACACACACACAUCUCCAACUGGAGAAAGAGAGAGAAAAAGAGGAAAAGAGAGAAAGAGAGUGUAGACCACCAGAUGUGUGAGAGAGAGCAGAGAGAAGGAGAUGCUCAGAGGGACCGGACAGUGACCAGGAAGGAGACCAUAGGAAGAGAGAGAAAGGAGUGCGACCACUGACAGAACACCUGGGGUUGUAUUGAAAUCUGGAUUGUUUGUAAAGUGGUGUUUGACUUUUGGUUCUGUGCUUCUGUUACUCUGAGAGACAACAGGAGUUCUGAGAGAGUUCUGUGUUACGUCCUGCCUACAGUACUGCCUCUUUGUGGAAGCACUGCGCUACACGACUGCUACAGGUGUUCUGAAGAGGUCAAAAUACUCACCAAAGAGAAGGAGCACAGAAAUAGAACAGAUACAUAGAAAGGAAACAUACAUUUAGUAAGAAAGAAAAAAAUACUUCAGAAAAGCCCAGAAGAACACAGAGGGUAAGAAAGAGAAUAACAGGUCUAGAGACAGACAGAAACAGAUAGACAAAAAGACAGGAUGGCGAACUCGGGUUUCCAGUUGCUAGGUUACUUCCUGGCAUUGGGUGGUUGGAUAGGCAUUAUCUCCACCACUGUGCUGCCGCAGUGGAAGCAGUCUUCGUACGCGGGUGACGCCAUCAUCACGGCUGUGGGGCUCUACGAAGGCCUGUGGAUGAGCUGUGCCUCACAGAGUACGGGACAGGUGCAGUGCAAGGUGUUUGACUCCAUGCUGUCACUGGACGUGCACAUCCAGACGUGUCGUGCUCUUAUGGUGGUGUCCGUGCUACUGGGCUUCAUAGGAAUGAUAGUGAGUGUGGUGGGGAUGAAGUGCACUAAAGUGGGCGACAACAACCCCAUCUCCAAGGGACGCAUAGCUGUGUCUGGAGGAGCCCUCUUCCUGCUCGCAGGUCUGUGCACGAUGGUGUCUGUGUCCUGGUACGCCACUCAGGUGUCCUAUCAGUUCUUCAACCCAAACACGCCAAUUCAAUGCCAGGUAUGAGUUUGGGUCAGCCCUGUUUGUGGGAUGGGCGGCGGCCAGCUUGGCGGUUUUGGGUGGAUCCUUCCUGUGCUGCUCCUGCUCCAAUGAGGAGAGGCGAGGGCAGCAGUACUACCGCCAAUCACAACCAUCCACAGCCAGGGAGGCAGAGUUGUUGAGUGAGACUAGUUUCCCUGACUGACCACCCCCUGCCUUUUUUCGAGGACUGUCCGAGUUACGCUCACUGUUUCCCCUUUCCCUGUUCCUUCCUAGAUUCAAAAUGUGGACCCUUGUCUCUCCGCUAUAGCAUAUGUCGCACCCCUCUCCCUCCCUCCCACCAACCCCACACUCCCUUCCUUAAUGUCUGCACCUUAUCUGUCUCUGAUAUUAACUUAUCGGUCAACAAAAUUUCCACCACACCUUUAAGAGCUUGCCACUCCCCUUUCCCCCACCCCCUUGAGGUUGUUUGUAAAUACGGACUCUGAAAGGAGAAGUAUGGUUGGGUGGUUAGACCCUCCCCUUUCAGACUAGAUGGGCGGCAUUACUGUAUUUCAUCCUGUGAACCCUUUACUAGAAACUCCAUUAUGUCCAUUUAUCGUUUAUUUACUGAACUUUAACUGUAUGAGUAAGAUUUGUCGUGUCAUGUUUUGUUGAUUUCUGCUUCACUGAUAUCCUAUGAUUUCUGGGUUUGUAGAAAUGUGCCUUUUGGUUUGGUUCUCUGAGAAUACAAGUGUACAUUUACUGAAACAUGUUUUUUUCUUUUAAAUUGCAGACCAAAUGUUAAAAGUUCCCCACCAGAGAAAAAGGAGGAAUACUUAUAGUUUGGGCGACUCCUUUGGCCCCACGAUGUGUUAGAUUGUUGGCAAAAGGCAAGACACUGUCUAACAGAAACAGACAAGACACUGUCUCAAUGAAAACAAAAGCAGACAAGACACUCUAUAGGAAACACACUCUCAGAAUGUAACAAAAUAAACUCAGAAUACACUUUUGAAGUAAUACAUCUCCAGACCAACCCAAAUGGGUAACUAGUAUUUUAUCAUUCUUAAAGAUGCCCAUGUGUUAAAUGUUUUAAUGUAUUUUAGAAUCUGUUUUGUACACAAGCAAUAUUGAAGGGUUUUUCUAUAGUAGAGUGUUGUUACAGCAAUAUGCACAGGUAUUGUCCGUGCUCACCUAUGACAAAUAACUGUUAUUUGGAUAAUUGAGAGAGUGAAACUGAAUCUGUACUACUACACAGAAGUGCCCAGGUGCAUAUACCACCACCUCCAGCCUUUCUGCUACAUAUAUGCUCUACUGCAGUGCCUUAUAAUAUGUGUCUGUGUGUAUGUUUUUGACUGUUAUACACGGCUUCCGCAGUGUCACAUCCUAUAUGGAUGAUGCACCCGUAUUGUACCCGUAUUGUAAAACAUAUCCGUGCCCGUCUUUUUCUCUUGCAUUAAAUGAACCAUUCAGACAAACUGUUGCAUGCAGUUCUAUCUCGGAACAUAGAUGUUUACUGUACUGUAGCUAGUAUACCACUUAAAAAACAACAGAAA
Molecule: RNA transcript, 2711 nt
Organism: Salvelinus sp. IW2-2015
Lineage: Eukaryota; Metazoa; Chordata; Actinopteri; Salmoniformes; Salmonidae
Gene name: claudin-19-like
Source: RefSeq, a predicted model, not a curated record